This 239-nucleotide long non-coding RNA is filed under the name Helianthus annuus (common sunflower). Its description in RNAcentral is "sRNA HanXRQr2_Chr17g0807631". The stretch from base 1 to 86 matches the Rfam family "Small nucleolar RNA R11/Z151". Lineage: Eukaryota; Viridiplantae; Streptophyta; Magnoliopsida; Asterales; Asteraceae. The record is from RNAcentral.
GAGUUAAUGAUGAGAAACAUAAAUAUCUUAGCGGAUUUCAGUAAGAUUUUUAAUCAAUGAUCUGAUUGUUACACACACUGAAGCUCUUAAUUUUUUUUUAUAUGAAAUGGGAUGUAAAUAAUAAUAAUAGCAGUGAUGAGGUAAAACACAUGAGGAUGUGUUAAGGGAAGUGGACAAGACGAUUAAAACCGUUUUGCCGUGAUCCCCAUUUUAAACGACUUCUCCUUCCACUGAGCUUU